GAGGUGGAGUGAGGCAGUGAGGGGUGUUAGAUUACAGUCAGAGUACAGUAUUAGUGUUUAUUAAAUGUAAGAGAAGUGGAGUGAGGCAGUGAGGGGUGUUAGAUUACAGUCAGAGUACAGUAUUAGUGUUUAUUAAAUGUAAGAGAAGUGGAGUGAGGCAGUGAGGGGUGUUGGAUUACAGUCAGAGUACAGUAUUAGUGUUUAUUAACUGUAAGAGAGGUGGA
Molecule: long non-coding RNA, 224 nt
Organism: Astyanax mexicanus (Mexican tetra)
Lineage: Eukaryota; Metazoa; Chordata; Actinopteri; Characiformes; Acestrorhamphidae
Exons: 3
Source: RefSeq, a predicted model, not a curated record